Molecule: ribosomal RNA, 424 nt
Filed under: Fusobacteriota bacterium
Lineage: Bacteria; Fusobacteriati; Fusobacteriota
Description: Fusobacteria bacterium partial 16S ribosomal RNA
Rfam family: Bacterial small subunit ribosomal RNA
Source: RNAcentral
UGAGGAAUAUUGGUCAAUGGGCGAGAGCCUGAACCAGCCAAGUAGCGUGCAGGAUGACGGCCCUAUGGGUUGUAAACUGCUUUUAUGUGGGGAUAAAGUGCGUGACGUGUCAUGCAUUGCAGGUACCACAUGAAUAAGGACCGGCUAAUUCCGUGCCAGCAGCCGCGGUAAUACGGAAGGUCCGGGCGUUAUCCGGAUUUAUUGGGUUUAAAGGGAGCGUAGGCUGUCUAUUGAGCGUGUUGUGAAAUUUACCGGCUCAACCGGUGGCUUGCAGCGCGAACUGGUCGACUUGAGUAUGCAGGAAGUAGGCGGAAUUCAUGGUGUAGCGGUGAAAUGCUUAGAUAUCAUGACGAACUCCGAUUGCGCAGGCAGCUUACUGUAGCAUAACUGACGCUGAUGCUCGAAAGUGCGGGUAUCAAACAGG